Molecule: ribosomal RNA, 440 nt
Filed under: uncultured bacterium
Lineage: Bacteria
Description: bacterial SSU rRNA
Rfam family: Bacterial small subunit ribosomal RNA
Source: RNAcentral
CCUACGGGUCGCACCAGUGGGGAAUAUUGGACAAUGGGCGAAAGCCUGAUCCAGCAAUGCCGCGUGUGUGAAGAAGGUCUUCGGAUUGUAAAGCACUUUCGACGGGGACGAUGAUGACAGUACCCGUAGAAGAAGCCCCGGCUAACUUCGUGCCAGCAGCCGCGGUAAUGCGACGGGGACUAGCGUUGCUCGGAAUGACUGGGCGUAAAGGGCGCGUAGGCGGUUUAUGCAGUCAGAUGUGAAAUCCCCGGGCUUAACCUGGGAACUGCAUUUGAGACGCAUAGACUAGAGGUCGAGAGAGGGUUGUGGAAUUCCCAGUGUAGAGGUGAAAUUCGUAGAUAUGGGGAAGAACACCGGUGGCGAAGGCGGCAUCCUGGCUCGAUACUGACGCUGAGGCGCGAAAGCGUGGGGAGCAAACAGGAUUAGAUACCCCCGUAGUC